CUAUGACGGGUAUCCGGCCUGAGAGGGUGAUCGGACACACUGGAACUGAGACACGGUCCAGACUCCUACGGGAGGCAGCAGUAGGGAAUAUUGCUCAAUGGGCGCAACCCUGAAGCAGCAACGCCGCGUGGAGGAUGAAGGUUUUAGGAUUGUAAACUCCUUUUGUGAGAGAAGAUAAUGACGGUAUCUAACGAAUAAGCACCGGCUAACUCCGUGCCAGCAGCCGCGGUAAUACGGAGGGUGCAAGCGUUACUCGGAAUCACUGGGCGUAAAGAGCGCGUAGGCGGGAUAGCAAGUCAGAUGUGAAAUCCUAUGGCUUAACCAUAGAACUGCAUUUGAAACUACAACCCUAGAGUAUGGGAGAGGUAGGUGGAAU
RNAcentral lists this ribosomal RNA (376 nucleotides) under uncultured Helicobacter sp. RNAcentral describes it as "bacterial SSU rRNA". It matches the Rfam family "Bacterial small subunit ribosomal RNA", at positions 274 to 667 of the family's 1533-position model. Lineage: Bacteria; Pseudomonadati; Campylobacterota; Epsilonproteobacteria; Campylobacterales; Helicobacteraceae. The record is from RNAcentral.